UACGGAGGAUGCGAGCGUUAUCCGGAUUUAUUGGGUUUAAAGGGUGCGUAGGCGGGCAUUUAAGCCGGCGGCCAAAUGUCGGGGCUCAACCCCGGCCUGCCGUCGGAACUGGGUGCCUUGAGUGGGCGAGAAGUAUGCGGAAUGCGUGGUGUAGCGGUGAAAUGCAUAGAUAUCACGCAGAACCCCGAUUGCGAAGGCAGCAUACCGGCGCCCUACUGACGCUGAGGCACGAAAGUGCGGGUAUCGAACAGG
RNAcentral lists this ribosomal RNA (252 nucleotides) under uncultured bacterium. RNAcentral's name for it is "partial 16S ribosomal RNA". It matches the Rfam family "Bacterial small subunit ribosomal RNA", at positions 524 to 776 of the family's 1533-position model. The record is from RNAcentral.